GGGAGAAAACUAAGGUCUGCCGCAUGGUGUGUUCCGAAGUUCCCUCCCAUCCUUCUGUUAACGAUUCUUGGUAUUCACUUACUGGUUUCGGGCUCAGAUAUUUUACCUUGAGAAAAUUAGAGUGUUUCAGGCAGGCUCGCGCCGGAAUACAUUAGCAUGGAAUAAUAGAAUAGGACGUUUGACUCCUUUGUUGGUUUGAGGGUCUGACGUA
RNAcentral lists this ribosomal RNA (211 nucleotides) under uncultured fungus. Its description in RNAcentral is "partial small subunit ribosomal RNA". The stretch from base 53 to 211 matches the Rfam family "Eukaryotic small subunit ribosomal RNA", at positions 702 to 864 of the family's 1831-position model. The record is from RNAcentral. Lineage: Eukaryota; Fungi.